GUCUGGCAAGCUCAGCACUUAGGAGAGGUUUUGGCAUACCUGUGUGUGGAGAACCACUGUUUCCACCCAGAGGGACCCUGUAAAGAAAGAACACAUUACAGAGAAAAGAGAAUAUAAAAUGAGGCCAAGGAGCUGCACCAGCUUUUUAGCAAUGCUGCACAGCUAACAAGUUAUUAGAUUUCCAUCUAAGAUUUGGAAAAGGUUUGGCAUUGGAAUGAGCCAAGAGCCGACUCUUCUAACUGGGGUCACUUUCACAGGCUUCAGGCUAGACUAUGGCAUGUCUCUUGGGAGCCACAUGGACCCCACUGGGAAGAUCAUCUACGUGAAACAGGACGCCCUGUGAAGUUGACUCGGCACCGGCUGCUCCAUCCACGCCGGUGGCCUGGCAGGUCCUGCACUGUGGCACUGCAUCCCUGCCCAGCUCCCUGGGCAGCACCCAGUCAGACUACGGAGAGCCGGUGUCCUUCAUCUGACCAGGGCAGAGGAUGGGUAGGAGGCCGCAGUGGGGAGUGAAGGAGCUAGUGAGUGAGGGGGCCCCAGGCUGGCGGGCAGGUGGCUCCACAGAGGCUGGCGUCAGUCCUCACCACCCAGCUGCGGGUAGGCUGCCCGUGUUGUGCACAGCCCAACACCACGCUAGACCUUUCCAGACCCUCCUGCCGUGCUGCUCCCGUGCCCUGUGCUGCUGGAGAAGGGCCAGGGCAGCCCCCUCAAACUGAGCGCCCCAACCUUGCUCUCCAGGGGAGGCCUGUCCCUAGCCCGGCUCCCCAGCGGGAGACACUGCCCUCUCCCACCCCUCCAGCUCCUGCCUCUCCUGGUCACUUGAAACCUCUCAGCUGCCUUUUCUCCAGACCCUCUGUUGUUCUGGGUCUGCUGCAGACCUAGCCCUGAGCCCCGGGGCUCAGCCCACGUCCUCCCCUGACGACUACACCGGAUAUGGCAUUUAUGGCCUGUAAUCCCUGUGUCUCCUAAACCCCUCUCCCCAAGGCUCCGCCACGACCUUGACGCUCAGCGCCCCUCCCUCCGCCCACCGCCUGCUGGGCAUUCCCACGCACCCCAACAGGGCUAGAAACGUGCUCCCCUAAUGGCUUCCUCCGGGAUUUCUGCCGUGUCCAUCGUUCCGCUCUCUGCCGAGCAUUCUAGCUGGAACCCCCGAGUCACAAGCAACCCCUCCCUGGCCUCUGAUUCAGCCCCUGGCAUUCCCUCCCGUCUCCAGCUGCCCUCCUGCGCAUCUCUCCCAUGCACUGAGCUGCAGCAGGGCCACUAUUACAGGGCUGAGCUCCCGUCACCCAGGUCAGACCCUCAGAGGCCCCUUGGAGGCUCCAUGCUGGAUGUGGACAAAGGUCCUUUGCCCUCACAGCACUGACCUGAGACACUGUGCUCUUGCUUCACAGAACCAGCUGACCAUGUCCAAAACCCCAAGGUGUCCCCAAACUGUCAGCAUUCAAUUUUUCUGAGUUGUGUAAAUAAUAUGGUUGUGAUGGUUAAUUUUACGUGUUACCUCUGCUGCACUGCAACACCCAGUUAUUUGGUCAAAAAUUACUCUAAAUAUUUCUGUGAAAGUAUUUUUUGAUGACAUUAACAUUUAAAUCAUUAGAGUUUGGGUACAGCAGUUGAAGUCCAUGAUGUGGGUGGGCCUGGUCCAAUCUGUUGAAGGUCUUAAGAGACUAAGACUGAGGUCUUUCAGAAAAUGAGGGAAUCUGCCUUUAGACUUGAAGCACCAACUUUUCCCUGGGUCUGAGGCCUACGGUCCUACUGCCGAUUUGGGACUUGUUAACUCCUACAAUCAUGUGAGCCAAUUCCUUAGAAUUAUCUACAUCUGUCUAUCUAUCAUCUCUAUAUCCAUCCAUCCUGUUGGUUCCAUUUCUCUGGAGAACCCCCAAAACAAUUGGUUAAAUGGUGCAAGCCAGUGUAUUGUAAAAUGGUGCAGGAGGAUGUUAUACGUAGGUCUGGGGCGGCACCUGGGAACCAAAUUCAUUUCUAUUAUCUGAAGAGAAAUGUGUAAAUACACAAACCCUAUCAUAUACAGAAAAAUUGUAACUGGUCCUCGGUCAGCUUAGAUUAUGCUGCUGAAUGAUAUGGCCACACCCAUAGGGUUUUGGACACGUUGGGACAUGGAAUUGAGCAUAAGGAAUGUGGAGCCACAGUCCAAUUUCACAGGUGGGCCUCAGAACAUCUUUGCCAUGUGGCCUUAUGCCAGUUUUCAGAGGAGAUAUCAAGGUCAAAGAGGCUUGGUUCUGUGCCUUGGGCCCCACUUAGCAGGUGACAGAGGGAGGUGCCUGGGGUGGUGGCCUGCCUUGCCCUCUGCUGUCUCAGUGCUGCAGUAUGGAUGUCCUCCCACACGGGGUGUUAUCUCACCCAAAGACUGCCCCCCUGCUCUG
Long non-coding RNA from Manis javanica (Malayan pangolin), 2378 nucleotides. RefSeq lists it as uncharacterized. Lineage: Eukaryota; Metazoa; Chordata; Mammalia; Pholidota; Manidae. The record is from RefSeq and is a predicted model, not a curated record.